RNAcentral lists this ribosomal RNA (253 nucleotides) under uncultured bacterium. RNAcentral describes it as "partial 16S ribosomal RNA". It matches the Rfam family "Bacterial small subunit ribosomal RNA", at positions 524 to 776 of the family's 1533-position model. The record is from RNAcentral.
UACGGAGGGUGCAAGCGUUAUCCGGAUUCACUGGGUUUAAAGGGUGCGUAGGUGGGUUGAUAAGUCAGUGGUGAAAUCUCCGAGCUUAACUUGGGAACUGCCAUUGAUACUAUUGAUCUUGAAUACCGUGGAGGUCAGCGGAAUAUGUCAUGUAGCGGUGAAAUGCUUAGAUAUGACAUAGAACACCAAUUGCGAAGGCAGCUGGCUACGCGAAUAUUGACACUGAUGCACGAAAGCGUGGGGAUCAAACAGG